UCAGGACGAACGCUGGCGGCGUGCCUAAUACAUGCAAGUCGAGCGGAUCUGAGGGAGCUUGCUCCCAAAGAUUAGCGGCGGACGGGUGAGUAACACGUGGGCAACCUGCCUGUAAGACUGGGAUAACUCCGGGAAACCGGGGCUAAUACCGGAUAAUUCAUUUCCACUCAUGUGGAAAUGCUGAAAGACGGUUUCGGCUGUCACUUACAGAUGGGCCCCGCGGCGCAUUAGCUAGUUGGUGAGGUAACGGCUUCACC
RNAcentral lists this ribosomal RNA (257 nucleotides) under uncultured Bacilli bacterium. RNAcentral's name for it is "partial 16S ribosomal RNA". It matches the Rfam family "Bacterial small subunit ribosomal RNA", at positions 24 to 269 of the family's 1533-position model. The record is from RNAcentral. Lineage: Bacteria; Bacillati; Bacillota; Bacilli.